UCAUUUUUGCCACCGGGUAAAGAUUGUAUAGUGUUCUGAAACAUUCCGUUAGGUCUUAGAAGGAAUGUUUUUAGAGCACUUUUUUACU
RNAcentral lists this non-coding RNA (88 nucleotides) under unclassified sequences. The record is from RNAcentral.